GCUCAGUAACACGUAGUCAACAUAACCAAAGGACGUGGAUAAACUCGGGAAACUGAGGCUAAACCGCGAUAGAUCAAGAUACCUGGAAUGGUUUUUGAUCAAAAUCUAUAAGGCCUUUGGAUUGGACUGCGUCCGAUCAGGCUGUUGGUGAGGUAAUGGCCCACCAAACCUGUAACCGGUACGGGCUCUGAGAGGAGGAGCCCGGAGAUGGGUACUGAGAAAAGGACCCAGGCCCUAUGGGGCGCAGCAGGCGCGAAACCUCUGCAAUAGGCGAAAGCCUGACAGGGUUACUCUGAGUGACUUUCGCUAAGAAAGUCUUUUGACACCUCUAAAAAUGGUGUAGAAUAAGGGGUGGGCAAGUCUGGUGUCAGCCGCCGCGGUAAUACCAGCACCCCGAGUGGUCGGGACGAUUAUUGGGCCUAAAGCAUCCGUAGCCGGUUUUACAAGUCCUCCGUUAAAUCCAGCUGCUUAACAGAUGGGCUGCGGAGGAUACUAUAAGACUAGGAGGCAGGAGAGGCAAGCGGUCUCAKUKGGGUAGGGGUAAAAUCCGUUGAUCCAUUGAAGACCACCAGUGGCGAAGGCGGCUUGCCAGAAUGCGCUCGACGGUGAGGGAUGAAAGCUGGGGGAGCAAACCGGAUUAGAUACCCGGGUAGUCCCAGCUGUAAACGAUGCAGACUCGGUGAUGGACUAGCUUUAAUGCUAGUCCGGUGCCGCAGGGAAKCCGUUUAGUCUGCCGCCAGGGUAGUACGGUCGAAAGACUGACAYUUAAAGGAAUUGGCGGGGGAGCACCA
Molecule: ribosomal RNA, 791 nt
Filed under: uncultured archaeon
Lineage: Archaea
Description: bacterial SSU rRNA
Rfam family: Archaeal small subunit ribosomal RNA
Source: RNAcentral